This 50-nucleotide non-coding RNA is filed under the name Rhizobium sp. RNAcentral's name for it is "Guanidine-II sequence". It matches the Rfam family "Guanidine-II riboswitch aptamer (mini-ykkC)". Rfam says of the family: Simpler in structure and has fewer highly conserved nucleotide positions than the ykkC-yxkD leader. Despite this each of its two stem-loop structures directly bind free guanidine. The record is from RNAcentral. Lineage: Bacteria; Pseudomonadati; Pseudomonadota; Alphaproteobacteria; Hyphomicrobiales; Rhizobiaceae.
UUGCGAGGACGACCUCGGCCAUGGCGGCGACAGCAUUCGGGACGGCCCGA